RNAcentral lists this long non-coding RNA (800 nucleotides) under Vigna radiata. RNAcentral's name for it is "long non-coding RNA (VRAD_LNC003039)". Lineage: Eukaryota; Viridiplantae; Streptophyta; Magnoliopsida; Fabales; Fabaceae. The record is from RNAcentral.
AGGGACAGGGGAAAAGCCUUCAUCAUCACCAGUUCUUCAUCAACUCCAUAUGGUUUCAUAGAAGAGCAUACCAGAAUAAAUUCUCUGAUAUGUUGAUGAGGGUCCUCAUGCUCCCAUCCAUGGAAGGUGGGCAACAACCUUAUGAACCCAGGCUUAAGCUCAACUCCAGAAGCAUUCUGCUCUAGAGGUAAAUGAGUGCACACCAGUUGAUGACCUAUUUCUUGGUAGGCCAGAUCUCUCAUGGACUUCUCCAUAGGAAAAGUCUUGCUAAACAGCCCAGUUACAGCACUCUCAACCCACUAAAACUACCCCAAACAAAAUUCACUAACUCCCCAAGGUUUGGCAGAACACACUCAGCCUAAACCUUCUUAGCAAAAGUGCCAAUCAAGCACAAAGAAACAAGAGAAAUACACCAGGACAGUUUCCAGAAUUAAAAAUUCAAUUACUAAAACAACACAGGGAAUGAAUAUACUAAACACGCACAACCAAACUCAAUAUUUACAAACGCUACAACUUCAAAAACAGAACCUAAGUUCACUAAAAAAAAAAUCAAAAAGAAACAAACCUAAACAAGACUAACCUAACACUCUAAAACUUAAUUCGUCGAGUCCCCGACAACGGCGCCAUUUGUUAAACUCGAUUUGGUUGCACAAAAAGAGAACAAGAACUGGUCCCCACUAAUGUAGUAUAGGGAUGACUAGAAUAUCAAUCCUAGGACUCGACAAAAUUAAGAUUAAAGUGUAGGGUUAAAUCUUGUAUUAUUCUCCUAAUUAUUUAUUUAAUAACUACUAACAUGUGGG